AGGGGAUAACACCAUUGCCUCCGAAGUUUGCAGUGCUGGUUCGAGACCAGAAUCCUCCAAAGAUUUGUCUUCGCAGUUUUUCUCUCGCACUGGCACCUGUUUGAAAGGCUUUUUUUUUCUUUUUUUCUUCUUCUUCUAAUGACGUCAUCACAAAAAGAGUAUAAAAGGCGUCAAGAAUGCGACGCUCAUUCUUGCACUCACCACUGACAGCGAAAGCCACGUUGCUCUGGUCCACCUGCUGCGCCGGCCGUACAACAGCAUUUAAAAGUGACAAGCGUCAAGUUGCACUUUGGGCGUGCUUCCAUCUUGCAAGCUCAAAAGUUUGCAGAAGCUAGCGUUAGCAGUUAACAUCUCCAACGACCACCAAAACGCAUUUAUCUGGCGUGCAACCAGACAAUUGAAGCAUUUAACGGUGGCAACGUCUGGACGACAGCGCCGUUUGGCCGAAGGGUCCAAAAUGGCCACCUUGCAGUCCUCACAUGGCUUCAUGAGACACUUGCAGACCAGCGAGCUGUGGUUGGAGAGACGUCCGGUGCUGCCCUCCAUUCGUCACUGGUGGUGCCAAAGGACCUAGUUUCUGCAGCAUGGAUCUGCUGAUCUAAAAGGUUUUGAACCUGUGGAAUCAUCAACCUCUUGUCUGACCUGCUGAUAGAGCACUCUCCAGUAAGGAUGCAGUUGGAAAAUCUGCCACCUGCUGGCCAAAGGUGUCCACCCUGGAGAGCAAAGGUUGCAAAUCCUGGUCCAGAAAGUGAAAAGCCUGCCAGUUUGUCUUCAGCCUCUGUGAGCUCGUUCAUCUGGGUCUGUGCUGCCUGAAGAGCCCUCUGCUGUGUGGAGCACCAUCAAAUACCUGCUCGUAGCGGAAGCUGAGGACUAGAGCAAAGCCGCAUACCAGCAACACUUUAGUCUUGUUGCUGCCUCAGCUUUAAGGCAACCUGAGAAG
Syngnathus acus (greater pipefish) is the source of this 940-nucleotide long non-coding RNA. RefSeq lists it as uncharacterized. The transcript is spliced from 10 exons. Lineage: Eukaryota; Metazoa; Chordata; Actinopteri; Syngnathiformes; Syngnathidae. The record is from RefSeq and is a predicted model, not a curated record.